Molecule: long non-coding RNA, 544 nt
Filed under: Malus domestica (apple)
Lineage: Eukaryota; Viridiplantae; Streptophyta; Magnoliopsida; Rosales; Rosaceae
Description: long non-coding RNA (MDOM_LNC009489)
Source: RNAcentral
UCGGGGAUCUGGCUCUCGAGAUUCGGAGAACGGUGCCUCUUCGAUUUUUGAGAAAGCAAUCUUGUUGGGAGUCUGGCUCUCAAGAUUAGGAAAGCGGUGCCUCUUCGAUUUUUGAGCAAGUAAUCAUGUUGGGAGUCUGGCUUUCAAGAUUCGGAGAGUGGUGCAUAUUCGAUUUUUGAGAAAGCAAUCCUGUGGGGAGUGUUUUCUCGAAUGUGAGUAAAGGUUGGGCAUUUUCGCCAGUCUGCCUUGCCACGGAGCACGGAGGUUGACACACAUAGGGACUUUCCAGUUAUCAAGCAGUGGUGAUGUUCCUUUACCCUUGUGGGUAAUAGUAGGGUAGUUGGACAUUCAAAAUUUCUGUGUCUAAACUUUGUCAAAGAUCUUUGGCAAAGCUAUCUGUGGUACCCGAGGAGUUGAUGUUGCGUGUGGAGAUUGUCGACAGAUUUUACUUAGGAAAAUCCGUUUCUCGAAAUUCAGAGAGUGGUGCCUCUUCGAUUUUUGAAUCAACGACCCUGUUGCCCUUUCUUUUAUAAAUGUGCAAGAA